Molecule: long non-coding RNA, 838 nt
Organism: Ostrea edulis (European flat oyster)
Lineage: Eukaryota; Metazoa; Mollusca; Bivalvia; Ostreida; Ostreidae
Exons: 2
Source: RefSeq, a predicted model, not a curated record
CCCCCCUUUUCCCUCUUAAUAGCCGUGUUUCGAGUUCCUCCGGAACACCCGGGAUUUUUCGUAUUUAGCCACGCCGGUCACGUGAUAUGAGCAAAAUGUUCCACAGGGGUACUUCCUGUUAAUUUUGUUUACACUGGUAACAAAAUUGUUUUUGACAAAAUAUAGAUUUUGUGGCACAAACUGUCGCAAAUCAGAUAAAGGAUAGCAAGGGAUAUAUAUUUACUUGGGAAGAUGUCAAAGUUUACCUUUUCCCAAACCCGGGAAAAGCGUUCACGCAGAGGAAACGAUGGCGUCAUUUGUGUAGAAAACCACGAACAGCCGAAAUUGAGUGCGAUUAUUACAUUCCGUGAAAGCUGAACCAACAAAGAAACAUCAUUGUUCUAGCCAGUUUCCUUAUAUUAACUUUUAGGAAAACCAAGAGGUUGAUAACAAUGGCUGAUCUGCAUAUAAUGACUGCUAGUUAUUGGCUGGUAUGCAGUGAAAGGGAGCUAAAAAGGAGUAAAAAGUUCAUAUCAGCCAGGUGAGAAUUAAUUUCUUUUUUGUGUGUUAUACAUAUGUAAUUCUUUUCUUUUGCUGCUUCAAAUCUUGUGUAUUUGAAAAUUUUCAGUCUAAUAUUUUGGCAAUGUUAUAGGUAGUGUGGCUUAAAUAAACCAGUGUUAAGGAAAUCCAGUAAUGGCAUGACAUCAUGAGAGUUUGGCAUACCGACAUUCAGAUGAUUAAUGAUGAAACUUAAGACCUCAAGUGAAAGGCAUGGAAAAUGAUCCUGUUCCCAUAUACCUGAAAAAGAGGAGGGAUGCCACAAUAUUGAUAAUAGACUUUUGUCAAUUUGAGAAGCAAA